Molecule: ribosomal RNA, 254 nt
Filed under: uncultured bacterium
Lineage: Bacteria
Description: partial 16S ribosomal RNA
Rfam family: Bacterial small subunit ribosomal RNA
Source: RNAcentral
UACGGGGGGAGCAAGCGUUGUUCGGAUUUACUGGGCGUAAAGGGCGCGUAGGCGGUCAGCACAAGUCAGUUGUGAAAUCUCCGGGCUUAACUCGGAAAGGUCAACUGAUACUGUGCGACUAGAGUGCGGAAGGGGCAACUGGAAUUCUCGGUGUAGCGGUGAAAUGCGUAGAUAUCGAGAGGAACACCUGCGGCGAAGGCGGGUUGCUGGGCCGACACUGACGCUGAUGCGCGAAAGCUAGGGGAGCGAACAGG